Molecule: ribosomal RNA, 347 nt
Filed under: uncultured organism
Description: bacterial SSU rRNA
Rfam family: Bacterial small subunit ribosomal RNA
Source: RNAcentral
CCGUAUGAAUAAGGACCGGCUAAUUCCGUGCCAGCAGCCGCGGUAAUACGGAAGGUCCGGGCGUUAUCCGGAUUUAUUGGGUUUAAAGGGAGCGUAGGCCGUUUGUUAAGCGUGUUGUGAAAUGUCGGGGCUCAACCUGGGCAUUGCAGCGCGAACUGGCAGACCUGAGUGCGCGGGAAGUAGGCGGAAUUCGUCGUGUAGCGGUGAAAUGCUUAGAUAUGACGAAGAACUCCGAUUGCAAAGGCAGCCUGCUGUAGCGUAACUGACGCUGAAGCUCGAAAGCGUGGGUAUCGAACAGGAUUAGAUACCCUGGUAGUCCACGCGGUAAACGAUGGAUGCUCGCUGUA